UGGGGAAUAUUGCACAAUGGGCGCAAGCCUGAUGCAGCGACGCCGCGUGAGGGAUGACGGCCUUCGGGUUGUAAACCUCUUUCAGUAGGGAAGAAGCGAAAGUGACGGUACCUGCAGAAGCAGCGCCGGCUAACUACGUGCCAGCAGCCGCGGUAAUACGUAGGGCGCAAGUGUUAUCCGGAAUUAUUGGGCGUAAAGAGCUCGUAGGCGGUUUGUCGCGUCUGCCGUGAAAGUCCGGGGCUCAACUCCGGAUCUGCGGUGGGUACGGGCAGACUAGAGUGAUGUAGGGGAGACUGGAAUUCCUGGUGUAGCGGUGAAAUGCGCAGAUAUCAGGAGGAACACCGAUGGCGAAGGCAGGUCUCUGGGCAUUAACUGACGCUGAGGAGCGAAAGCAUGGGGAGCGAACAGG
Molecule: ribosomal RNA, 409 nt
Filed under: Bacillota bacterium
Lineage: Bacteria; Bacillati; Bacillota
Description: Firmicutes bacterium partial 16S ribosomal RNA
Rfam family: Bacterial small subunit ribosomal RNA
Source: RNAcentral